This 212-nucleotide long non-coding RNA is filed under the name Hordeum vulgare. Its description in RNAcentral is "long non-coding RNA (HVUL_LNC010102)". The record is from RNAcentral. Lineage: Eukaryota; Viridiplantae; Streptophyta; Magnoliopsida; Poales; Poaceae.
CUCCUUCUUCUCCUUCUUCUUCUUCGUCUUAUUCUUAUUCUUCCUUCUUAUCCAUUUUCCUCUCUUAUUCUUCUUCUUGUUCUUCCUUCUUUUCCUUUUUCCUCUUCUUUCUUCUUCUUCUCCUCUAUCCUCUUUUUCUUCUUGUUGUUGUUGUUGUUGUUGUUGUUGUUGUUGUUGUUGUUGUUGUUGUUGUUGUUCUUCUUCUUCUUCUN